RNAcentral lists this long non-coding RNA (732 nucleotides) under Brassica rapa (field mustard). RNAcentral's name for it is "long non-coding RNA (BRAP_LNC008129)". Lineage: Eukaryota; Viridiplantae; Streptophyta; Magnoliopsida; Brassicales; Brassicaceae. The record is from RNAcentral.
UGAUCAUCCAAGAGUCAUUCAACAACACACUUAUUUCUAGUCAAAAGUCUUAGUCUUUGUUUAUGUUUUCUAAGUUUCUAGUUUUCUACAAAACUCUUAAGUCUUUCUUUGACUCAUUGUACUAUAAAUAAGUAAACUCUGCCAUGAAUAAAAUCAGUCUAUGUUUUUGAGUUUAUUUUCGUUUCUUCUCUGAGUGAGAGAGAGAGAGUUCUUAGCUAGUUCAUCGGUUUGAACCGGCUUGUUGAUUUGGUGGUCAGCCAAUCAUCUUUGUGUGUCGUUUGGUGGUUAGCCAACACACUACAUUUGUUCUUAGGUGGUUAGCCUUAGAUCGUGGGUAUAUCAAGAGCCAUUCCGCAUCUCUUGACGAUCCUUUCAAUCCAUCUCAGUUCCAGAAGCGCCAUUUGCUUCUCGGUUCAUAUCCAACACCCAGCUAAAGUGAUCCUCCCUAUCCUAGGGUUCUUCAGUUGGUAUCAGAGCCACUUUGGCUGGUUUGUUUUCUUUCAUCUUUCAUCUUCUCAUCUCUCCACGUUUUUCUUUUCUUAUUUCUUGGAUCCGGGCUGUUCCUUUACUCCCUUGUGAUCGCCUAUUAUAAAAAAAAAAAUCGAUAAAAAAAGAAAAAAAAAAGUUUUGGCUUGAAUCACCUUGUGAAGAGAAAUCCAGGGGGAGUGGUGGAAGAGAAACCCUGCUGGCUGAAGAGAAACCCAGCCUUAGGACAGUUAAGGCGGAUCCAUU